CAGAAUAUUAGUGAAUAAGUUGCUUCUUAUAUAAAAGACCCAAGCAGAAUGGUUGGGCAGAUGCAGAUGUGGAAAUUAGCAGUUGCUGUAUUUGGCACUGUUCCUGUGGGGGAGAACACUGCGAAGGGAAAGGUACAAUGUUUAUGAGAAGAUAGUAAAUUUAAUGGCUCCAGAGACCAAUGCCGUUUCUCCUAUGCUUGCUGACCUCAAUAAUUUGUUUGGGUUGAAGAAGCAGAAACCAGCUUUCGUAGUAAAGUAGCAAUGCAGGGCUGAAUCAGCUGUAUAGUCCUUAGAUCUCAAGCUAAGAAAUUGUCUGCUCCUAAUUUAUUUGAUAUAUUAGUCAAUCUAAUAUCUCUUUAAGAAGCAUGAUUUUGUUGUAAAUGACAAUUAAUGGAAAGUGUUAUUGGCACUCCAAAAAUAACACUCCUCACAAGUGUAUCUUUCUUUCCAAAUAUAGAAAGUUUGGAGUGUAGAAUGAGAUUUUUGGAGUGCCAAUAACAAUUCAUUUACUUAUUUGUAAAUUUGACAUUUAUAAGCAGAUAGGAUGUUUUUGCUUUCCCCGGUGCCAAAAUAUUUUCCCCCAGUUCAACAUUUUUCUUCCCCGGUGUCAAUGUCCUUCCCUUGUAUGUUUAGAAUCAUAUAUAUAUUUUUUUCCAAUUAUUUACUGCUAGUAUACAACCAUCUGUUUUUGUUCUCUGGUACGGGAUUGUAUGCAAUUAGUGUCGGGGAAGAAAAAUUCUUAAAUAUCGUUAAUGUUGGAUGUAUUUUAUGCUAUAUUUAUGCAAUAUUUGAUAACGUUGAACACAUCUGAACUUCGAUAUUUUGAAGGCAGAAAACAUCUUGAAAACAAGGAGGGAAUCCAAAGAUGUCUGUAUCAAGUAAAAUUACAAACUCAUGGAUGGCUUGUGGACUACUGUCGCUUCUUUUUCUGGGAGAUGGAGGACCGAAC
Molecule: long non-coding RNA, 949 nt
Organism: Pyrus x bretschneideri (Chinese white pear)
Lineage: Eukaryota; Viridiplantae; Streptophyta; Magnoliopsida; Rosales; Rosaceae
Exons: 3
Source: RefSeq, a predicted model, not a curated record